AUAAAUUUUUUCGAAAGAAAAAUCUGUUCUUAUCAGUUUAAUACCUGAUACGUCCUCCAUUCGAGGACUUUAUAUUAAACGGAUUUUUAGAGCGAGGAGCUGGAAAGAGGGCUUGCUCCGUCCGCUCCACGCAUCGACCUGGUAUUGCAGUACCUCCAGGAACGGUGCACCUUUU
This is a small nuclear RNA of Ictalurus punctatus (channel catfish), 175 nucleotides long. Its record names the gene U2. It matches the Rfam family "U2 spliceosomal RNA". From Rfam's summary of the family: U2 is a small nuclear RNA (snRNA) component of the spliceosome (involved in pre-mRNA splicing). Complementary binding between U2 snRNA (in an area lying towards the 5' end but 3' to hairpin I) and the branchpoint sequence (BPS) of the intron results the bulging out of an unpaired adenosine, on the BPS, which initiates a nucleophilic attack at the intronic 5' splice site, thus starting the first of two transesterification reactions that mediate splicing. NCBI's taxonomy places the organism in Eukaryota, Metazoa, Chordata, Actinopteri, Siluriformes, Ictaluridae. The record is from Ensembl.